GCCUCUUUUGGGACAAAAUGGGU
Molecule: non-coding RNA, 23 nt
Filed under: Arabidopsis thaliana (thale cress)
Lineage: Eukaryota; Viridiplantae; Streptophyta; Magnoliopsida; Brassicales; Brassicaceae
Source: RNAcentral